GUGUCUGCUCUGGCUGCGGAAAUCCGUUGACUCAGAGAGUUUGCGGCAAGGAGAUUCUUAAAACUUGAUCACUGAAAGUAGGAUUUGGCCGCGUGGAAUUGAGAGAACACAGGCAGUUCACACCUCAUGGGAUGAGGAAACGGAAACAGCCCAGACUACACAGAGGCAACUGGUCAAGGAUCAAAACAGUAACAAAGAUUACUAUGGUUGGUCUAAUGUUCUCCAGAGACCAUCUGGAUCAUCCAGAGGAGGAUUGGGAGAAUGUUGUGUGGUAAGAUGGGACCAAAAUGUAACUCUUUGAUAUAGAUGCCACUCACCACACAUGGAAGAUAAAGCAUGAUGUUUUGCAUAACCACUGUAAAGCAUAAGGGUGGAGAAAUCAUGCUUUGGGGCUCUUUUUCUAAGAAGCAAACAUGAAGACUGAUUUGUCCAAUAAACUGUGAUAC
Oryzias latipes (Japanese medaka) is the source of this 446-nucleotide long non-coding RNA. RefSeq lists it as uncharacterized. Lineage: Eukaryota; Metazoa; Chordata; Actinopteri; Beloniformes; Adrianichthyidae. The record is from RefSeq and is a predicted model, not a curated record.